CUCCACAGCUGCACCAGCUGGUAGGCUCAGUCCCAGAAUUUAGAUAUCUGCUCAGAUGGCCUUGACAUCUUCUAGGACUACUCACCUAUCUCCAAUGCCAUGGUCAGUAGGACAACUUUUCCAGUCACCAGAGCAACCUCAGCAGUGCCUUGACACAUCACCCUCUCUCCUCAACUUCCUUCCAAAAACCUUAUCAAGGACCUUUGUGGAAGGGAAUCUGUGAAGUCUGCUAGGAUUCUGAAGGCAUGUCUGGACCCCCUAUUUUGUGUGUGGUCACCUUCCAGGCAGCUGCAAACUUCCCUGAUGAGUGGAGCCGUAGCACUGCUACCAACACACUACCCUCCAAAGUGAGACUGGUGGCCUCCUUCCUUGCCAUCUGG
Molecule: long non-coding RNA, 380 nt
Organism: Passer domesticus (house sparrow)
Lineage: Eukaryota; Metazoa; Chordata; Aves; Passeriformes; Passeridae
Exons: 3
Source: RefSeq, a predicted model, not a curated record